UAGCCGUAAACGAUACUCGCUAGGUGUCGGCCACGGUGCGACCGUUGUCGGUGCCGUAGGGAAGCCGUGAAGCGAGCCGCCUGGGAAGUACGGCCGCAAGGCUGAAACUUAAAGGAAUUGGCGGGGGAGCACAACAACGGGUGGAGCUUGCGGUUUAAUUGGAUUCAACGCCGGAAAACUCAUCGGGAGCGACAGCAGUAUGAUUGCCAGGUUGAUGACCUUGCUUGACAAACUGAGAGGUGGUGCAUGGCGUAGACGUCU
Molecule: ribosomal RNA, 261 nt
Filed under: uncultured archaeon
Lineage: Archaea
Description: partial 16S ribosomal RNA
Rfam family: Archaeal small subunit ribosomal RNA
Source: RNAcentral